GUGGGGAAUUUUGGACAAUGGGCGCAAGCCUGAUCCAGCAAUGCCGCGUGCAGGAAGAAGGCCUUCGGGUUGUAAACUGCUUUUGUACGGAACGAAACGGUCCUGGCUAAUACCUGGGGCUAAUGACGGUACCGUAAGAAUAAGCACCGGCUAACUACGUGCCAGCAGCCGCGGUAAUACGUAGGGUGCGAGCGGUAAUCGGAAUUACUGGGCGUAAAGCGUGCGCAGGCGGUGCUGUAAGACAGGCGUGAAAUCCCCGGGCUCAACCUGGGAAUUGCGCUUGUGACUGCAGUGCUGGAGUGCGGCAGAGGGGGAUGGAAUUCCGCGUGUAGCAGUGAAAUGCGUAGAUAUGCGGAGGAACACCGAUGGCGAAGGCAAUCCCCUGGGCCUGCACUGACGCUCAUGCACGAAAGCGUGGGGAGCAAACAGGAUUAGAAACCCCUGUAGUCC
Molecule: ribosomal RNA, 450 nt
Filed under: uncultured bacterium
Lineage: Bacteria
Description: partial 16S ribosomal RNA
Rfam family: Bacterial small subunit ribosomal RNA
Source: RNAcentral